GACUUACUCCCUCCGUCCGAAAAAGUUUGUCCCUCAAAUUGAUGUAUCUAGCACUAAGUUAGUGCUAGAUACAUCCAUUUAAGGAACAAGCUUUGGACAAGCUUUUUCGGACGGAGGGAGUAUCUU
This is a non-coding RNA of Triticum aestivum (bread wheat), 126 nucleotides long. The record is from Rfam. NCBI's taxonomy places the organism in Eukaryota, Viridiplantae, Streptophyta, Magnoliopsida, Poales, Poaceae.